RNAcentral lists this ribosomal RNA (18 nucleotides) under Stachybotrys chartarum. RNAcentral describes it as "partial 18S ribosomal RNA". The record is from RNAcentral. Lineage: Eukaryota; Fungi; Ascomycota; Sordariomycetes; Hypocreales; Stachybotryaceae. RNAcentral also lists the same sequence under 5 other names.
ACUGCGGAGGGAUCAUUA